Molecule: ribosomal RNA, 461 nt
Filed under: uncultured bacterium
Lineage: Bacteria
Description: partial 16S ribosomal RNA
Rfam family: Bacterial small subunit ribosomal RNA
Source: RNAcentral
CCUACGGGUGGCCGCAGUGAGGAAUAUUGGUCAAUGGCCGGAAGGCUGAACCAGCCAUGCCGCGUGAAGGUCAGUGCCCUAUGGGCGUUAACCUUCUUUUGUGCUGGAGCACUAAUGGUCACGUGUGGCCAGACGAGCGUACCGUACGAAUAAGCAUCGGCUAACUCCGUGACAGCAGCCGCGGUAAUACGGGGGGUGCAAGCGGUAUCCUGAUUUUUUGGGUUUAAAGGGUGCGGAAGCUGUUGAGGAAUGUAGCCGUGAAAAUGCCACCGCUCAACGGGGUGAAUUGCCUUUGAUACUGCCUUGCUGGAAUGCGGAUGCCGUGGGAGGAAUAUGUGGUGUAGCGGUGAAAGGCAUAGAUAUCACACAGAACACCGAUUGCGAAGGCAUCUCACGAAUCCGCGAUUGACGCUGAUGCACGAAAGCGUGGGUAUCAAACAGGAUUAGAUACCCCAGUAGUC